GUGUGUCAGUCAGGGUCUGUACAGGUGAGGAGUAUUCCUGGAGUCGGUCUGUGUCCCAGGAGUGUCCAGUGUUGAUUCUGUAUCUGUGUCUGGUGAUAACAGCAGACAGAGGGACAGUACUGUGGUCUUGUUUCCUGGGUAGUGGACAGGGUGACCAAGGUGGAACCUCAGGGAGGAGAGACUGAGCUCAGCCAGGGCACCAGGAUCAACACACAGAUCAUAGAGAUCUUUAAUGAGCAAGCAGUCAGGACUCAUUCAGUGUCUCAUGAGAAAGACAGACGGCACUUCCUACAGGUGUCUCCAGUCACCAUCCUGGCCAGUUGGUUCAGAUCAGAGGAAGUCUUUAACUGUUUUCACUCUCUCUGUUCACACCCCUCAGUGUCUCUUCCAGACUCUGGAUCACGGCUCUCCUCCUUCUUCUCUUCCAUCUCCUCCCUCCUCCAGACAUCCAGACCAGCAGUCAAAAUCCACUUCCUGGCUGCUGGAGUUACCCUGGGAGCUGACAGGAUGUUCAAGGAGAAACUGGGAAAGCAGAUGAACUUUAAAGAGUGCCCCCUGCAGGAGUGUGACGCCAUCGUGACUUUCUGUCCUGUCAGCUCUCGGAUAGGGACUGAUAUUGACCACGCCCUCCAGAACAUUCCAGGGGACAAGCCCGCCGCCCUGGUGGUGAUGCACCACACCUACGACCCCGAGGCAGUUGUGGCUGAGAGCAGCAGACUGGUGACCAGGAGAGACACAGUGACUGUGGACUGUCUGUUCCAUGAGACAGCGGGGCUGCUGGACAGCUGUCCCAUCAAUGAGCAGGCUGUGGGUUCAGUGCGUGACAUGCUGAGAGGCUUACCCACAGCUAACGAGUAAGCACCAUCAGCGUGUAACACAGUUAGAUAGCUCAGAAGAGUUUCAACGUCGCAGGAAUCUGCAAUAAGCCAAACUAGAAUUUAAUUGAGUGCAGUCUGUCUGAAUGCUGUCAGCUGAUCUUGCUCUAAAACCUUGAUUAUAACAGGAAACGGAUGAAUUAAAUUCAACAUGAAAGAGGAUGUGUUUAAGCUCAUCGACUGGAAAUCAAGGAUCGACUCUGGGGAAUCUGUAGCAGAACGAAGGGUCAAACAUUUUAAUUCCAUCAUUAACGGUGAAUGUAAAUGACUCCCAACACAUAUCCUAUUGUAUUCCUGCCGACUGAAGAUCAAUAAAACAUUAAGAGGAAACACACUGUGACUGGUGCCCGGGAGAGACACAGUGACUGUGGACUGUCUGUUCCACAGGACAGCGGGGCAGCUGUCCCGUCAGUGGGCAGGCUGUGAGACAGGUCUCUGAUGGAUUACUGAAAUGUGUUCAGCCGGAAUAAAACGCACUUUCAGUCGAAAUUGACCUUCAUGCAGCACUCCAGUGCUUUUGCCAGGAGGAGGGUUUUAAUUGGCCUCGCUACCCGAGCGUGUUAUUUACUGACAAAUACGACGACCGCUGAGUGAUUUAAUUUAAUUUAUUUAAUUCCGUAGAUUAAUAAAACAUUUCUAGAUCACAGAACUAUAAGGUGGGGUUUUAGUCAAUAACUGUCCAGGUCAUUCCUGCCUGCAGAGCCUCCUGACUAAAGGGAGCUGUCCGCAGUCUGAGCUCCCCCUGGUGGUGGGGAGGACUGCAGAGCCUC
This 1645-nucleotide long non-coding RNA is filed under the name Lepisosteus oculatus (spotted gar). RNAcentral's name for it is "lncRNA (ENSLOCG00000021457.1)". The record is from RNAcentral. Lineage: Eukaryota; Metazoa; Chordata; Actinopteri; Semionotiformes; Lepisosteidae.